UACAGAGGGUGCGAGCGUUAAUCGGAAUUACUGGGCGUAAAGCGCACGUAGGCGGCUUGGUAUGUCGGGUGUGAAAUCCCCGGGCUCAACCUGGGAACUGCAUCCGAAACUGCCUUGCUAGAGUAUGGGAGAGGGAAGUGGAAUUUCCGGUGUAGCGGUGAAAUGCGUAGAUAUCGGAAGGAACAUCAGUGGCGAAGGCGGCUCUCUGGGACGGUACUGACGCUGAGACGCGAAAGCGUGGGGAGCGAACAGG
RNAcentral lists this ribosomal RNA (253 nucleotides) under uncultured bacterium. Its description in RNAcentral is "partial 16S ribosomal RNA". It matches the Rfam family "Bacterial small subunit ribosomal RNA", at positions 524 to 776 of the family's 1533-position model. The record is from RNAcentral.